UCUCUCACAACUGUAUAGAGCGGUGGUAACUCAACGGGCUUUAAUGUAGUUACUCUGACACAACUGGUAUAAAUGAGAAGAAAAUCAGGCCCUGAAAUUCUGUAGACCUGGAAUUUAUUUCCAACUCUGCCACUAAUUUAUGCAAUUUUGACAAAUGCUUAUUGGCAGACAUGAAGACUGAAGUCCUCUAUUUAUCAACUGAACAAGUAUAGCACUGGAAUCAGGAAUGCAGAAACCGCCAUCUUUGAGUUUCAACCCUGACUGUGACCUGACCAGCUCUAGGAUAAUCAGCUGAACAAGAGCUAUCAGUGUGAUGCUGUGGCCAAAAGGACUCAUAAGGGGCAAGGCUGGGGAGGAAGGCAGACCUACCCUGAGGACCCUUGAACAAGGAUGCCAAAGAAGCCUUACUGUGAGGAAGAAGACUAUCUGCUGAUCAUAGUUGGGGCUGAAGGUUUAGUUGUCUUCUCUUUUCUUUUGCUAUCUUAUAUUGGACUUAAAGACUUUUGGGGAGACAGAUGGUAAGAAUUGAUCCACACUGGCAUCUCUGAAACAAUCUAGAGUGCCUAAUAUUAUUGACCCUCGGAGGGCCCUAGUUCAGAGCCCGAUGGAGUGGGAUGGCCCAGGCUCCCAUACCAACUGCCUUUGUUGCAAGAGGGGCAUAAACCUCAUUUUUACUCCACCUUCACCUCUAGUAAGGAGAGCGUAAGGACACUGAAAAUGCUGAGGUGAGGAUAAGCCACAUAUAAGUAUUAGGAACUAGACUGAAGGUUCUGCUGGGAGGCAAGAAACUGAAAACCAGGUAUGCUAACCACUAGGCCACCUAGCCUUCCAACUACUCUACUAGAGAUGCAUAAAUGGAGGGAAUCUCAAGUAGGAGUAGAGAGGUCAUUUUACCACUGUAUUUGGCACUGAUGCAGCUGCUGCUGGAAUACUCUGUCCAGUUCUGGUGUCCACAAGUCAAGAAGGAUGUUGAUAAAUUGGAGAGGGUUCAGAGAAGACCUGAAGGAAUGAUUUAAGGAUUAGAAUAUAUGCCUUGUAGUGAUAGAUUCAAGGAGAUUAAUCUAUUUAGAUUAACAAAGAGAAGUUUAAAGGGUGAUUUGAUUACAAUCUGUAAGAAACUAUAUGGGAAACAAAUACUUGACAGUGGGCUCUUAAAUCUAGCAGAGAUGGGUAUAACAUGAGUCUAUGGCUGGAAGUUUGAGCUAGACAAAUUCAGAUGGAAAUAAGGCAUACCUUUUUAACAGUGAGGGCAAUUAACCCUUGGAAUAAUUUGCCAAGGGUCAUGGUGGAUUCUCCAUUACUGGCAAUUUUUAAAUCAAGAUCCUAUGUUUUUGUAAAAGAAAUGCUCUCAGAAUUGUUUCAGGGAAGUUCUAUGGCCCCUGUUAUACCUGAGGCCUGUGUUAUACAUGAGAUUUUCCCUUCUGGCCUUGUAAUAUACGAAUCUGUGAAAAUAAAGUCUGACCACGCUAGAACUGAA
This is a long non-coding RNA of Malaclemys terrapin pileata, 1477 nucleotides long. RefSeq lists it as uncharacterized. The record is from RefSeq and is a predicted model, not a curated record. NCBI's taxonomy places the organism in Eukaryota, Metazoa, Chordata, Testudines, Emydidae. The transcript is spliced from 3 exons.